GAACACCGAUGGCGUAGGCAGGUUACUGGGCCAUUUCUGACGCUAAGGCACGAAAGCGUGGGGAGCGAACCGGAUUAGAUACCCGGGUAGUCCACGCCGUAAACGAUGGAUACUAGCUGUUGGAGGUAUCGACCCCUUCAGUAGCGAAGCUAACGCGUUAAGUAUCCCGCCUGUGGAGUACGGCCGCAAGGCUAAAACAUAAAGGAAUUGACGGGGACCCGCACAAGCGGUGGAUUAUGUUCUUUAAUUCGAUGAUAACCGAAGAACCUUACCAGGGCUUGACAUCCAGGGAAGGUCUGCGAAAGUAGACUGUGCCUUUUGGAACCCUGUGACAGGUGAUGCAUGGCCGUCGUCAGCUCGUGUCGUGAGAUGUUAGGUUAAGUCCUUCAACGAGCGCAACCCUUGUGAAUAGUUGUAUUUUUCUAUUCAGACUGCCCCGGUAACGGGGAGGAAGGAGGGGGNAUGAUGUCAGGUCAGUAUUUCUCUUACGUCCUGGGCUAGAAACGUAAUACAAUGGCUGGUACAAUGCGCCGCGAAGCCGCGAGGUGAAGCAAAUCGCACCAAAGCCAGUCCCAGUUCGGAUUGUAGGCUGAAACUCGCCUGCAUGAAGUCGGAAUCGCUAGUAAUCGCAAAUCAGCAAGUUGCGGUGAAUACGUUCCCNGGGUCUUGUACACACCACCCGUCAAACCAU
RNAcentral lists this ribosomal RNA (691 nucleotides) under uncultured Candidatus Saccharibacteria bacterium. RNAcentral's name for it is "bacterial SSU rRNA". It matches the Rfam family "Bacterial small subunit ribosomal RNA", at positions 704 to 1405 of the family's 1533-position model. The record is from RNAcentral. Lineage: Bacteria; Candidatus Saccharimonadota.